Molecule: ribosomal RNA, 489 nt
Filed under: uncultured bacterium
Lineage: Bacteria
Description: bacterial SSU rRNA
Rfam family: Bacterial small subunit ribosomal RNA
Source: RNAcentral
GACGAACGCUGGCGGCGUGGAUUAGGCAUGCAAGUCGAACGGUAGGAUACCUUCGGGUAUCUGAGAGUGGCGAACGGGUGAGUAACACGUAGGUGAUCUACCCUCAAGAUUGGGACAACCCAGGGAAACUUGGGCUAAUACCGGAUGAAAGCAGCAGUGAUGUUGUUUGAAAGGUGGCGUAAGCUGCCGUUUGGGGAUGAGCCUGCGCUCUAUUAGUUAGUUGGCGGGGUAAAGGCCCACCAAGGCGAUGAUAGAUAGGCGGCCUUAACGGGUGGUCGCCCACACUGGGAUUGAGAUACGGCCCAGACUCCUACGGGAGGCAGCAGUCGAGAAUAGUCUACAAUGGCCGAAAGGCUGAUAGUGCGACGCCGCGUGAACGAAGAAGCCCGUUCGGGGUGUAAAGUUCUUUUAUAUGUGAGCAGUGCUUUCUAUGUGAACAGCAUGGGGAGAGAGAUAUUAGCAUACGAAUAAGCAACGGCUAACUCCGUG